GUACCUGAAAAUUCAAUAAAAUUGUUCUGAAAUUGACCUUGGGAUGACCUUGGCAUAACUUCUAGAUGACCUUAAGGAAUCAAGGGACCCCCAUAUUUGGAUUUAGCGACAACAAAAACAAAAAAAUAAAAUUAAUUUUUAUUGAAUAAAUUUUUUUUCCUAAUUGACCCUCAAAUGACCUCGAACCUGACAUUAUGGAGGUUAACAGAUCUCGGAUUCGGCUUCAGCGAGUCUAAAAUCCCACAUAUAUGAAAUUUUCAGGUUUAUUCAAUGAAUAUUUCCCUACUUGACCUUAUCAAACAAAUGUUAGAAUAUUAAAAAUGGGACCUCAAUUAAUAGAUGUCUAGAUUUUUAUGGUAUUUUUCAAAAGUAAAAAAAAAACUAAUAGCUAGCUGUUUAAAAAUAAGAUUUUAUUUACUGAAAGUGUUUGAUGGGGUUAAAGAAGAAGUUACAUACAACUUUACAUCCGCUCUUUUUUCGCAACAAUGCAACCUUGUUAGCGAAGUUUUAAUUCAUUAAUUAGGGUAUUGCAGUUUAUACGCACUCUGGCACUUCUGAACGCAACUCGCAGUUACAUAUAGGUUUAUUGAUCUGUAUUUAUAUAUGUAUGUAUGUAUGUAUAAAGGCCCAUACAAUCAAUUGACAUCGGUUGAAAAACAUGAUUUGCAAAUAACGCACUUAAAUUUGCAUAAAAUUUGCAAGCGUUGUCAGAAAAUGCUGCUAACAAUAGAAACAACAACAUAAGCUAACAACUUUGAAACGAACAACGAAAUGUUACAACUCAAAAAUGCCAAUCGAGCUGCCAAAAAUUAUGCAAAUUAAUAGGCGAAAUUUUAAAUAUCCGCGAUCGCUGACGCAGCUGUGCUAUACUACCACUCAACUGACAGUUACAGCAAACACACAAACAGGAAAAAAAGUUUUAAUAAAAUCACAGGUAAGCAGCGUUAAGUGAAACUGAAAGGAUUUUUGCCCGACAGCUAAAAAAAAUUAUAUUUGCAUAAAUACAAUGCAGUUUGCGAGCGUUUUUGGGAUAUGCAAAUGAGACAGCCGAACUGAAUCGAAAAGAGGUAAUUGCCGCACAAAAUGCCACUGAAUGUGCCAGCCAACGCACCGCUGGCGACUCAUUAACAUAACAUUAAACAUCGACAGAGAAAAGCGGGACAACAGAACAACUACAACGACGAUAUUUUCGAAUAUGGUUUUUUUUUUAUCAAACAAAUACCACUUCGUCUCAUUCCGACAUCCUUGCAGUCAUUCGGUGAGGUGCGAGUAUAAGUACCUAUCAGAAUGUGCGGCAACGUAGCGCAUCUGCCACGACCACUCGCGUACGCGCCGCAUCCGUAUAUGCGUCCCCAGCCUCAUCAUCGACGUUGCUGAGCCAGCUGAACCAGCUGAGCCAGCCGAGCCAGCCAACAGUUCAACGAACGCAAUGCGCUGUGUCACUAACCUAAAUUAAAAUUAUGUUAAUGAAUGAGAAAUAUAAAAACACAGUGCCAGUAUCCCUGCAGGCCCCUCACCGAUGCAGCAGAAGCAAGAGCAGCCCGUAAAUCAGGGCCAAGGACGACUCGAAUGGGAAUGCCGCGCUGCGUCGUUGUGCGAAAUGGGGAAAGCGACUGACUGGCAACCUUUGGGCAUAAUGAAGUUAGCGAGGCUGCGCUGCCACAUCGCUCAUCAGCGUAAUUUUAAUUUACUUUUUUGUUGUUGUUGUUGUGGUUGUUGAUGCUUUAGAGCGCAAAAAUUUCAUCUCUUCCUUUCAUCGCUUUGUUUGUUUCUAUGCGCUUUCGCGGAACAUUGACUGGGCGACCGGCAUUUUUGUCUUCUACUUCCUGCCUGUUUCAUUUCCAUUCAAUUCCUAUGGUGGUAAUUAUUACUCAGUUUUUGUCGAUUAAUUUCGAUUGGCCUUGCGAGCGGUGACGUCACAAGGACACUGUGCCCGUUCAGCGUCGUCGACGUGUUGUACAUACAAUUAAAAUUCUAAUUUAUGCAAAUUAUCAAAGGCGCCGCCGGUACUGUGUUUGGGUAUUUCCAUGCGACGAGUAUAAUUACAAAGAAUUUGUGAGCGUAUUUCGCGAUUAAAGCUUUAAUCGAAAAGACGUGGCGGAAGCGAGCGAUUUAUUUUGUAAUAUUUCGUCAAAUUUUAUGUUAUGCUGCACUAAGUUCACUAACUACAUCACUCACCAGAGGAAUGUAUGUAUUUGUAACAGUCUUAAUAUCAUUUUUUCUUCUUAUGAAUAUCCCCAAAUGUAUUUUUUUUUAAAGCUGCCGACAACCUUUCGGAUGCGCCUCACGCUGAGGAAUGAAAUUUCAAUUUGAAUUGUACGCAAUGCGAACAGAACAGAUUCCUUUUCUUCUUCAGUGGAGCCUUAUCACCACUGAAUCGCUAAACAAUUUGGGAGCGCGUCUUUGCGUUUCUUCUUCAACGGCUCCAUCAAUGCUGGAAACUGUGGCAGGGGUGAUGACAGAAGUUUGCCACAGACUCCAAGGAAGCAAUCAAUGGAAAACUGCUACCGAGAUGCGAUUACUCGAAACACUAAACUCGAAAAAAAUAUAUGCGUUUACAUUUUUACAGCGAAUUUCCAUGCGCUCUCGCCGCGAAGAAAAAUUAACUCUAUAUCACUUGACGCGAGUGCGAUAUGCAGACGAGUAUGAAUGCAUGGACGGGACGGACCGGUAAAUCAGUAAGGCAAUCGCUACGAUAUUUUGCUCAGAUGGGCGGAUAAUUGAGACGCGGCGCACCAGUCAGCCGCAACGCUCGACUGCUACUGUCCGCGGACGACUUUGCCAAGACCGCACCAAACAACAAAGCGUAAAAGUGCGAAGCAACUUGAAGAAGACGCCGACGCUAACACCGAUAUCAACGCCAACGCCUGUUUCGUCGUAAAAGAGCCACAAUAGAAGUGGAAGGGAAUCUAAGUGUAUUUGCCACCCCCUCGUUACGCCAUACUCAACUUUGGCAAGUGGUUCGAAGCGACUCACAUAGGCGAGCGGACAUGUUCUGCUGCUGAGUAGAGUUAAGAAGCAAGUGAAGUGCUGGACACGCGCACUGGCACAUCUGCUCUCACGAAGGAUACGCUCUUGCACUCCUUACAAUACAACUACACUAACGCAUUCCUCAUAGGGUAAUAUGUAAGUUGAAGGUGCGAGUUUUUGCAAAAAAAAAAGCACCACUCUAUAGCAAUAACGUCCCCGAAGGGUAUAUUGCCCUAGAAAAAAGCGAGGCAAAAAAUGAGAAAAAAUGGUGGUGGAAAAUAUAAAAAAAAAAUAGAAAAUAAGUCAUCCCCUCACUUUUCGCACGCACACAUGCUCUAAAAAGCACACUCACAUCCACACAUAUGUACAUAUGCUAGUAAACAAUGAGGCGGAUGACGAGCAAAAAAGCAUGACGAAUUUUUCCAAAGUUUUUAUAUUCCAUCCAUCAACACACGUAUUCGCUUUCUGGCGCUCACACGCUUUGUGUCGAUCCUGAAGGUAUUGAAGUGCAGAAAAAAAAAUACGAAUAACUGGAGGAUAACCCACCCUGUUUUCAGGUCCUAAAAAUCCGUUCCCUGUUCAUCACUAAUAUACUUUUGGCACAGUUUUCUUUUGGCGGCGGGAUUGUUGAAUAUUUGCAAAACUGCAGAAAUAUGGAAAGUUAUUUCAAGAAAGCUGAUAUGCCCGCACCCCAAGGGAGUAUUAUCGAGGCAGACAACACAAGCUCAAGCAGCUCCACGGAAGAGCAGCCUCCGCCCAGAAUUUUUUACAAUUGAGCAAUUGUCAAAAAUCUGCAUUUUAAUUAAAAAGUUUUUUCUUGAAACUACCUUC
Molecule: long non-coding RNA, 3801 nt
Organism: Rhagoletis zephyria (snowberry fruit fly)
Lineage: Eukaryota; Metazoa; Arthropoda; Insecta; Diptera; Tephritidae
Source: RefSeq, a predicted model, not a curated record